RNAcentral lists this ribosomal RNA (274 nucleotides) under uncultured bacterium. Its description in RNAcentral is "partial 16S ribosomal RNA". It matches the Rfam family "Bacterial small subunit ribosomal RNA", at positions 523 to 796 of the family's 1533-position model. The record is from RNAcentral.
AUACGGAGGGUGCAAGCGUUAUCCGGAAUCAUUGGGUUUAAAGGGUCCGUAGGCGGGCGAUUAAGUCAGAGGUGAAAUCCCACAGCUCAACUGUGGAACUGCCUUUGAUACUGGUUGUCUUGAGUUACAGUGAAGUAGAUAGAAUGUGUAGUGUAGCGGUGAAAUGCAUAGAUAUUACACAGAAUACCGAUUGCGAAGGCAGUCUACUAACUGUAUACUGACGCUAAUGGACGAAAGCGUGGGGAGCGAACAGGAUUAGAAACCCUAGUAGUCC